RNAcentral lists this ribosomal RNA (253 nucleotides) under uncultured bacterium. Its description in RNAcentral is "partial 16S ribosomal RNA". It matches the Rfam family "Bacterial small subunit ribosomal RNA", at positions 524 to 776 of the family's 1533-position model. The record is from RNAcentral.
UACAGAGGUCUCAAGCGUUGUUCGGAUUCAUUGGGCGUAAAGGGUGCGUAGGUGGCGCGGUAAGUCGGGUGUGAAAUUUCGGAGCUUAACUCCGAAACUGCAUUCGAUACUGCCGUGCUUGAGGACUGGAGAGGAGACUGGAAUUUACGGUGUAGCAGUGAAAUGCGUAGAGAUCGUAAGGAAGACCAGUGGCGAAGGCGGGUCUCUGGACAUCUCCUGACACUGAGGCACGAAAGCUAGGGGAGCAAACAGG